This 72-nucleotide transfer RNA is filed under the name Bacteroidota bacterium. RNAcentral's name for it is "tRNA-Arg". It matches the Rfam family "tRNA". From Rfam's summary of the family: Transfer RNA (tRNA) molecules are approximately 80 nucleotides in length. The record is from RNAcentral. Lineage: Bacteria; Pseudomonadati; Bacteroidota.
GGUUCCAUAGUUCAACGGAUAGAAUAGAAGUUUCCUAAACUUUUGAUCCCAGUUCGAUUCUGGGUGGGACCA